AGUGAACGCUGGCGGCAGGCCUAAUACAUGCAAGUCGAACGGCAGCACAGCAGAGCUUGCUCUGUGGGUGGCGAGUGGCGGACGGGUGAGGAAUACAUGGGAAUCUGCCCAGUCGUGGGGGAUAACGUAUGGAAACGUACGCUAAUACCGCAUGCGCCCUACGGGGGAAAGCCGGGGACCGCAAGGCCUGGCGCGAUUGGAUGAGCCCAUGUUCGAUUAGCUAGUUGGCGGGGUAAAGGCCCACCAAGGCGACGAUCGAUAGCUGGUCUGAGAGGACGACCAGCCACACUGGGACUGAGACACGGCCCAGACUCCUACGGGAGGCAGCAGUGGGGAAUUUUGGACAAUGGGCGCAAGCCUGAUCCAGCCAUGCCGCGUGC
RNAcentral lists this ribosomal RNA (380 nucleotides) under uncultured bacterium. Its description in RNAcentral is "bacterial SSU rRNA". It matches the Rfam family "Bacterial small subunit ribosomal RNA", at positions 30 to 404 of the family's 1533-position model. The record is from RNAcentral.